GAUGAACGCUGGCGGCGUGCCUAAUACAUGCAAGUCGAGCGAACAGACGAGGAGCUUGCUCCCCUGACGUUAGCGGCGGACGGGUGAGUAACACGUGGAUAACCUACCUAUAAGACUGGGAUAACUUCGGGAAACCGGAGCUAAUACCGGAUAAUAUAUUGAACCGCAUGGUUCAAUAGUGAAAGACGGUUUUGCUGUCACUUAUAGAUGGAUCCGCGCCGCAUUAGCUAGUUGGUAAGGUAACGGCUUACCAAGGCAACGAUGCGUAGCCGACCUGAGAGGGUGAUCGGCCACCCUGGAACUGAGACACGGUCCAGACUCCUACGGGAGGCAGCAGUAGGGAAUCUUACGCAAUGGGCGAAAGCCUGACGGAGCAACGCCGCGUGAGUGAUGAAGGUCUUCGGAUCGUAAAACUCUGUUAUUAGGGAAGAACAAAUGUGUAAGUAACUAUGCACGUCUUGACGGUACCUAAUCAGAAAGCCACGGCUAACUACGUG
RNAcentral lists this ribosomal RNA (497 nucleotides) under uncultured bacterium. Its description in RNAcentral is "partial 16S ribosomal RNA". It matches the Rfam family "Bacterial small subunit ribosomal RNA", at positions 28 to 507 of the family's 1533-position model. The record is from RNAcentral.